Molecule: long non-coding RNA, 277 nt
Organism: Stegodyphus dumicola
Lineage: Eukaryota; Metazoa; Arthropoda; Arachnida; Araneae; Eresidae
Gene: zetaCOP
Source: RefSeq, a predicted model, not a curated record
AAUCAAAAUGAGAAAGCUUUCCGUAAACAACUCAACUAGUACUUCUAUGCUGACACGACUUGAUUGUUUACGUGCGGAAAACUUAUUUGUAGCUGAAAUAGAAAGUGUCUGUCAUUAAAUUUUCUAUUGAAAUGGAAUCUGGAUUAAUGGAACCAACAUUGUAUUCAGUAGAAGCAAUAGCCAUUUUAGAUAAUGAUGGAAAUAGAAUACUGGCUAAAUAUUAUGGUAAAACAUUCCCUACUGCUAAGGAGCAAAAAGCUUUUGAAAAGAAUUUAUA